RNAcentral lists this unclassified non-coding RNA (1573 nucleotides) under Hevea brasiliensis (rubber tree). Lineage: Eukaryota; Viridiplantae; Streptophyta; Magnoliopsida; Malpighiales; Euphorbiaceae. The record is from RNAcentral.
GUCCAACUUUAUAAAGAAAGCAGGCGAUGUGAGAUAAAAGGAUUGAGAAAAAUUUGUUGGCAGCAGCGAUAAUGGAAAGAUAAUUAGGUACAGAUAUAUUCAAAUCUUAUUUUAUUUGGUUCCAAAAACGUCAUAAUCUGAGAACCUCCACAAUGGUCCAUAGUUCCAAACUAAAGCCAUCAACACAAGGGUCCCUGUGUAAAGGAAAAGACGAGGAAGCUAAAAUACCUUAUACCCACUCGUACUAUCCUCUCUCUCUCUCUCUCAAUGCAAAGCCAAAUCUCCUGUCAAUUUCAAAUAUAUAUUAUAAUGAAAGCAAAGCCCUAAAAAGAAUCCCCCAACACCACCACCAAAGUUCAUCCACAUAAAAAAGUUGUCCAUUAUAACUAUAUCUUAUAAUCUAUGAAUAUAUUUUGGGACACACUUGAAAGACACCUUUGCCCCUUCAUUAAGACAACUUCUGGUCCAAUAUGCUUUACUUUUGAUGUCCACCGACCCUAAUUAGAAAGAUACUUCGCAACCAAUUAACCAAAGAAAAUAGGAUCAACAAAGGGUAUAUAAUCAAAGAAAGUGAAUAAUUGAUACGGCCAAGAAGAGUCCUAUUCUCGAUAGAAGCAAGAAAAGAAAAGUUAAUUGCAUGAACACACUAGUUUUAGUUUUUGGGUGAGGACUGAGGAUAUUCCAAUUUCACCUCAUCAUCUCUAUCUCAAACAUGAACCGCUUAAAGACACUCGGGAAUAUAAGUAAAGAAGAUAACCCUAACCCCAUCACCCCCCACAUCAAACUAAGGUUGCGUUUGGCUGCUCGAGGAUCUAAAAAGCCACAUCCAUUUACAAAAAAGUUGAGAAGCAAGCAAAAGUGGGGAUAUUCCCUUGUACAACAAAAACUCAUAUCUUCCCAUUCCCUCUUUUUUUAUCCCCCAAGAUCCUCCACAUCAAUACCCUACCGAAAGCCCUAAAAACCCAAAAAUAAAGAUUUAAAAAAAAUAAAAAUAAAAUAGAAACCCUUAAACAAUGCUUUUCCACGACAGAAUUUUUGAGGUUAGAAAAGGAAAAAAAUCUAUUUCCAAAACUAUGGAAUGCUUGAAUUCUUUCUAUCGAGAAGUGCAAUUUUUUAAAAAGUAGUGAAAUUUUCAAAACUUUUCUAAGCUGUCAACAAAUUAUUUAUAAUUUUACAUCAUUUUUUUUAUUUUUGCCAUUGCACAAGUCAUCAUAAUCCCUAAAACUAAAAUUUUUUUGUGUCCUCAAUUGCACACAGUUGAAAGAUAGCAAUUCAAUAGACAAAUCUCGAAAAGUUUAGAGCCUUGAAAAUGGAAUUUUCCAAAAUUCUAUAUUUCUCUCCAGCAAAUGGUUCAAAAAAUUCACUAACGUAAAAUUGCAUUAUAGCCAGUCCUUUAAUAGGAAACCCAUGAUGGGUGUGACAAUUUGCAAUCAAAGAAACUAACAUCACGGUAUUGGUAUCUCACAAGUUUCACCUAUGUCUAGAUAACUUGUCUGGAUAACAACUGUCAUGCAAUAGAUAAUAUUAGUAAGGCAUAUAUAUAUUGAGAAUAAGUUUUGUAUAUGCCUUGCUA